UACGGAGGGAGCAAGCGUUACUCGGAAUUAUUGGGCGUAAAGGGCGCGUAGGCGAUUCGAAAAGUCAACUGUGAAAGCCCAGGGCCUAACCCUGGAAGUGCAGCUGAUACUGUUGAAUUUGAGUUCCGGAGAGGAAGGCAGAAUUCCCGGUGUAGCGGUGAAAUGCGUAGAUAUCGGGAGGAAUACCAGUGGCGAAGGCGGCUACCUGGACCAGCACUGACACUGAGGCACGAAAGCGUGGGGAGCAAACAGG
RNAcentral lists this ribosomal RNA (253 nucleotides) under uncultured bacterium. RNAcentral describes it as "partial 16S ribosomal RNA". It matches the Rfam family "Bacterial small subunit ribosomal RNA", at positions 524 to 776 of the family's 1533-position model. The record is from RNAcentral.